RNAcentral lists this ribosomal RNA (540 nucleotides) under mesophilic bacterium enrichment culture clone OTU_3. Its description in RNAcentral is "bacterial SSU rRNA". It matches the Rfam family "Bacterial small subunit ribosomal RNA", at positions 40 to 601 of the family's 1533-position model. The record is from RNAcentral.
CGGCUGCUUACCAUGCAGUCGAGCGAUGAAAUCCCUUCGGGGAUGGAUUAGCGGCGGACGGGUGAGUAACACGUGGGUAACCUGCCUCAAAGAGGGGGAUAGCCUCCCGAAAGGGAGAUUAAUACCGCAUAACAUUAGUUUUUCGCAUGGAAAACUAAUUAAAGGAGUAAUCCGCUUUGAGAUGGACCCGCGGCGCAUUAGCUAGUUGGUGAGGUAACGGCUCACCAAGGCGACGAUGCGUAGCCGACCUGAGAGGGUGAUCGGCCACAUUGGAACUGAGACACGGUCCAGACUCCUACGGGAGGCAGCAGUGGGGAAUAUUGCACAAUGGGCGAAAGCCUGAUGCAGCAACGCCGCGUGAGUGAUGAAGGCCUUCGGGUUGUAAAGCUCUGUCUUUUGGGACGAUAAUGACGGUACCAAAGGAGGAAGCCACGGCUAACUACGUGCCAGCAGCCGCGGUAAUACGUAGGUGGCAAGCGUUGUCCGGAUUUACUGGGCGUAAAGGAUGCGUAGGCGGAUUUUUAAGUGAGAUGUGAAAUU